AUACGUAGGGGGCGAGCGUUGUCCGGAAUGAUUGGGCGUAAAGGGCGCGUAGGCGGCCCGGUAAGUCUGGAGUGAAAGUCCUGCUUUUAAGGUGGGAAUUGCUUUGGAUACUGUCGGGCUUGAGUGCAGGAGAGGUAAGUGGAAGUCCCCGUGUAGCGGUGAAAUGCGUAGAGAUUGGGAGGAACACCAGUGGCGAAGGCGACUUACUGGACUGUAACUGACGCUGAGGCGCGAAAGUGUGGGGAGCAAACAGGAUUAGAUACCCUGGUAGUCCACGCUGUAAACGAUGAAUGCUAGGUGUAGGGGGUAUCGACCCCUUCUGUGCCGCAGUUAACACAAUAAGCAUUCCGCCUGGGGAGUACGGCCGCAAGGUUGAAACUCAAAGGAAUUGGCGGGG
This 397-nucleotide ribosomal RNA is filed under the name uncultured bacterium. Its description in RNAcentral is "partial 16S ribosomal RNA". It matches the Rfam family "Bacterial small subunit ribosomal RNA", at positions 523 to 918 of the family's 1533-position model. The record is from RNAcentral.